GUACACACCGCCCGUCACRCCAUGGGAGUGGGUUGCUCCAGAAGUAGAUAGCYUAACCGCAAGGRGKGCGCUUACCACGGUGGGAUUCAUGACUGGGGUGAAGUCGUAACAAGGUAGCCGUAGGUGAACCUGCAGAAGGAUCA
This 143-nucleotide ribosomal RNA is filed under the name uncultured eukaryote. RNAcentral describes it as "partial small subunit ribosomal RNA". The record is from RNAcentral.